ACUCAAAUGAAUUGACGGGGGCCCGCACAAGCGGUGGAGCAUGUGGUUUAAUUCGAUGCAACGCGAAGAACCUUACCUACCCUUGACAUCCUGCGAAUCCCGAUGAGAGUUGGGAGUGCCGAAAGGAGCGCAGAGACAGGUGCUGCAUGGCUGUCGUCAGCUCGUGUUGUGAGAUGUUGGGUUAAGUCCCGUAACGAGCGCAACCCUUGCCCUUAGUUGCCAGCAGGUAAAGCUGGGGACUCUAAGGGGACUGCCGGUGUUGAACCGGAGGAAGGCGGGGACGACGUCAAGUCAUCAUGGCCUUUAUGGGUAGGGCUACACACGUGCUACAAUGGUACGUACAGAGAGUCGCCAACCUGCGAAGGGGAGCCAAUCUCAGAAAGCGUAUCGUAGUCCGGAUCGGAGUCUGCAACUCGACUCCGUGAAGUCGGAAUCGCUAGUAAUCGCGAAUCAGCACUGUCGCGGUGAAUACGUUCCCGGGCCUUGUACACACCGCCCGU
This 500-nucleotide ribosomal RNA is filed under the name uncultured bacterium. RNAcentral describes it as "partial 16S ribosomal RNA". It matches the Rfam family "Bacterial small subunit ribosomal RNA", at positions 899 to 1397 of the family's 1533-position model. The record is from RNAcentral.